RNAcentral lists this non-coding RNA (23 nucleotides) under Cricetulus griseus (Chinese hamster). Lineage: Eukaryota; Metazoa; Chordata; Mammalia; Rodentia; Cricetidae. The record is from RNAcentral.
AAAUUCGGAGAGGUAUGUUUUUU